This 88-nucleotide transfer RNA is filed under the name Mesorhizobium sp. L-2-11. RNAcentral describes it as "tRNA-Gly". Lineage: Bacteria; Pseudomonadati; Pseudomonadota; Alphaproteobacteria; Hyphomicrobiales; Phyllobacteriaceae. The record is from RNAcentral.
GCGGCAUGUGCGGCGGACCUGCCGCUUCGCCUCCCACGAAGACGGUCCGCAAGAGAACGGCGUCCGGAUCAUUUCCGGACGCCGUUCC